GACGAACGCUGGCGGCGUGCUUAACACAUGCAAGUCGAACGGAAAGGCCCUGCUUUUGUGGGGUGCUCGAGUGGCGAACGGGUGAGUAACACGUGAGUAACCUGCCCUUGACUUUGGGAUAACUUCAGGAAACUGGGGCUAAUACCGGAUAGGAGCUCCUGCUGCAUGGUGGGGGUUGGAAAGUUUCGGCGGUUGGGGAUGGACUCGCGGCUUAUCAGCUUGUUGGUGGGGUAGUGGCUUACCAAGGCUUUGACGGGUAGCCGGCCUGAGAGGGUGACCGGCCACAUUGGGACUGAGAUACGGCCCAGACUCCUACGGGAGGCAGCAGUGGGGAAUAUUGCACAAUGGGCGGAAGCCUGAUGCAGCAACGCCGCGUGCGGGAUGACGGCCUUCGGGUUGUAAACCGCUUUCGCCUGUGACGAAGCGUGAGUGACGGUAAUGGGUAAAGAAGCACCGGCUAACUACGUGCCAGCAGCCGCGGUGAUACGUAGGGUGCGAGCGUUGUCCGGAUUUAUUGGGCGUAAAGGGCUCGUAGGUGGUUGAUCGCGUCGGAAGUGUAAUCUUGGGGCUUAACCCUGAGCGUGCUUUCGAUACGGGUUGACUUGAGGAAGGUAGGGGAGAAUGGAAUUCCUGGUGGAGCGGUGGAAUGCGCAGAUAUCAGGAGGAACACCAGUGGCGAAGGCGGUUCUCUGGGCCUUUCCUGACGCUGAGGAGCGAAAGCGUGGGGAGCGAACAGGCUUAGAUACCCUGGUAGUCCACGCUGUAAACGGUGGGUACUAGGUGUGGGGUCCAUUCCACGGGUUCCGUGCCGUAGCUAACGCUUUAAGUACCCCGCCUGGGGAGUACGGCCGCAAGGCUAAAACUCAAAGGAAUUGGCGGGGCCCCGCACAAGCGGCGGAGCAUGCGGAUUAAUUCGAUGCAACGCGUAGAACCUUACCUGGGUUUGACAUGGAUCGGGAGUGCUCAGAGAUGGGUGUGCCUCUUUUGGGGUCGGUUCACAGGUGGUGCAUGGCUGUCGUCAGCUCGUGUCGUGAGAUGUUGGGUUAAGUCCCGCAACGAGCGCAACCCUUGUUCACUGUUGCCAGCACGUUAUGGUGGGGACUCAGUGGAGACCGCCGGGGUCACCUCGGAGGAAGGUGGGGAUGACGUCAAGUCAUCAUGCCCCUUAUGUCCAGGGCUUCACGCAUGCUACAAUGGCUGGUACAGAGAGUGGCGAGCCUGUGAGGGUGAGCGAAUCUCGGAAAGCCGGUCUCAGUUCGGAUUGGGGUCUGCAACUCGACCUCAUGAAGUCGGAGUCGCUAGUAAUCGCAGAUCAGCAACGCUGCGGUGAAUACGUUCCCGGGGCU
RNAcentral lists this ribosomal RNA (1346 nucleotides) under uncultured bacterium. RNAcentral's name for it is "partial 16S ribosomal RNA". It matches the Rfam family "Bacterial small subunit ribosomal RNA", at positions 28 to 1381 of the family's 1533-position model. The record is from RNAcentral.